UGAUAUAGGUGUCUAAAAGAAAAACUCGAACAUGCUUGCAUGGUGAGAGUUUUGCUUUUAUGACCCAAACAAAUAUGAGGAAAUAGCAAUUUACGCAGUAAAUUAGCGGUUUCCGAAUAUUUGUAGAAUUGCGAAAUGACGUUAGUCAUGAAGCAAUUCGUAUAUCA
This 167-nucleotide small RNA is filed under the name Butyrivibrio sp. INlla21. RNAcentral's name for it is "Clostridiales-1 RNA". It matches the Rfam family "Clostridiales-1 RNA". The record is from RNAcentral. Lineage: Bacteria; Bacillati; Bacillota; Clostridia; Lachnospirales; Lachnospiraceae.